Molecule: ribosomal RNA, 280 nt
Filed under: Anaerostipes hadrus ATCC 29173 = JCM 17467
Lineage: Bacteria; Bacillati; Bacillota; Clostridia; Lachnospirales; Lachnospiraceae
Description: Anaerostipes hadrus DSM 3319 partial 16S ribosomal RNA
Rfam family: Bacterial small subunit ribosomal RNA
Source: RNAcentral
UAUGGUAAUUGCCAGCCGCCGCGGUAAAACGUAGGGGGCAAGCGUUAUCCGGAAUUACUGGGUGUAAAGGGUGCGUAGGUGGUAUGGCAAGUCAGAAGUGAAAACCCAGGGCUUAACUCUGGGACUGCUUUUGAAACUGUCAGACUGGAGUGCAGGAGAGGUAAGCGGAAUUCCUAGUGUAGCGGUGAAAUGCGUAGAUAUUAGGAGGAACAUCAGUGGCGAAGGCGGCUUACUGGACUGAAACUGACACUGAGGCACGAAAGCGUGGGGAGCAAACAGG